Molecule: ribosomal RNA, 118 nt
Filed under: Petromyzon marinus (sea lamprey)
Lineage: Eukaryota; Metazoa; Chordata; Hyperoartia; Petromyzontiformes; Petromyzontidae
Source: RNAcentral
GAUAACAAAUUAAAUCACCCUGAUUGCACCCGACCUCUGGGUCUCAGAAGCUAAGCGGGGUCCAGCCUAGGUUGGCACUUGGAUAGGAGACUGCCAGGAAUUACCAGGUGUUUUAGCU